Long non-coding RNA from Anguilla rostrata (American eel), 805 nucleotides. RefSeq lists it as uncharacterized. NCBI's taxonomy places the organism in Eukaryota, Metazoa, Chordata, Actinopteri, Anguilliformes, Anguillidae. The transcript is spliced from 3 exons. The record is from RefSeq and is a predicted model, not a curated record.
CACCCAGCGCACCCCGGGGCUGAUGAUGGGCUUCCUGACCGGGGAGGACGUCUCCAGGGAGAGCGUGGGUAUCAGUCGUCUCCGCUGGGUCCCUGGGGGGCGAAGCAGGCAAAACACCAGAACCCGCGAAGAGAUCUGGAUGGUGGAGAGGGUCUCAGAGAAAUUGCUAGAAUCCAGCUCAAGAUGUGUUUAACUGGAACUAGAUCAACAAGAAACAUGUGACCCCACUGCAUGACGCCAAGGACGUUGGCAACAGCGAACCCAGCAAAAGCUGCAGCUAUGUUUUGAUGAAGACCUCGCCUAAGUAACAAUGCUAUGAUUCUACAAGGUGAUGAGGCUGCUUGGGCAGCCAGUCAUAAGGCAUUAGUCAAACUUGUUGUUCUGUGCCUGCCUAGACAGGGAUGCUUAUUUUCAUUAUUUUCUCUUGACACAGCCUGAAAGCCCAUCGAAUAAGAACGUGAAUGAUCUUUUUCCCUUAGUGAAAUAUUGUCAGUUUGCCUCCAUAAAGGUCAAAUAUUUUUGCUCUAACCCAAACAAAAUCAAGAGGCAUCAAAUUAUCUCAUUUAGUGGGACAGAGAAAAAGAAGAGAGACAUGAUGGGAACUAAUUAAACUAAGCAGAUCAGUGACUUUUUGCCGAGGCAUUACAUUCAGGUGAAGUUAUCUCCUGCAAAUGACCCCAAACUCUAAUUACUUCCUACCUCUUCUGAGUGUUUGCUCUUCCAUCUUAAACUGACGCAGUGCUUUGCAAUGUAAAUUUCCCAUGAUUAAAUUAGAAUUGCAUGGUGCAAAAUCAUAUGUACCCUG